This 35-nucleotide small RNA is filed under the name Arabidopsis thaliana (thale cress). Its description in RNAcentral is "ATSL061350". Lineage: Eukaryota; Viridiplantae; Streptophyta; Magnoliopsida; Brassicales; Brassicaceae. The record is from RNAcentral.
AUGUUAUGUACACUGUUUUCUCUACAUUUCAAUUU